GACGAACGCUGGCGGCGUGCUUAACACAUGCAAGUCGAACGGAAAGGCCCUGCUUUUGUGGGGUGCUCGAGUGGCGAAAGGGUGAGUAACACGUGAGUAACCUGCCCUUGACUUUGGGAUAACUUCAGGAAACUGGGGCUAAUACCGGAUAGGAUCUCCUGCUGCAUGGUGGGGGUUGGAAAGUUUCGGCGGUUGGGGAUGGACUCGCGGCUUAUCGGCUUGUUGGUGGGGUAGUGGCUUACCAAGGCUUUGACGGGUAGCCGGCCUGAGAGGGUGACCGGCCACAUUGGGACUGAGAUACGGCCCAGACUCCUACGGGAGGCAGCAGUGGGGAAUAUUGCACAAUGGGCGGAAGCCUGAUGCAGCAACGCCGCGUGCGGAAUGACGGCCUUCGGGUUGUAAACCGAUUUCGCCUGUGACGAAGCGUGAGUGACGGUAAUGGGUAAAGAAGCACCGGCUAACUACGUG
This 468-nucleotide ribosomal RNA is filed under the name uncultured bacterium. RNAcentral describes it as "partial 16S ribosomal RNA". It matches the Rfam family "Bacterial small subunit ribosomal RNA", at positions 28 to 507 of the family's 1533-position model. The record is from RNAcentral.